This 216-nucleotide ribosomal RNA is filed under the name Nocardia arthritidis. Its description in RNAcentral is "partial 16S ribosomal RNA". It matches the Rfam family "Bacterial small subunit ribosomal RNA", at positions 1322 to 1533 of the family's 1533-position model. The record is from RNAcentral. Lineage: Bacteria; Bacillati; Actinomycetota; Actinomycetes; Mycobacteriales; Nocardiaceae.
GAAGUUGGAGUCGCUAGUAAUCGCAGAUCAGCAACGCUGCGGUGAAUACGUUCCCGGGCCUUGUACACACCGCCCGUCACGUCAUGAAAGUCGGUAACACCCGAAGCCGGUGGCCUAACCCCUUGUGGGAGGGAGCCGUCGAAGGUGGGAUCGGCGAUUGGGACGAAGUCGUAACGAGGUAGCCGUACCGGAAGGUGCGGCUGGAUCACCUCCUUU